This 373-nucleotide ribosomal RNA is filed under the name uncultured bacterium. RNAcentral's name for it is "bacterial SSU rRNA". It matches the Rfam family "Bacterial small subunit ribosomal RNA", at positions 527 to 896 of the family's 1533-position model. The record is from RNAcentral.
GGGGGGAGCAAGCGUUGUUCGGAUUUACUGGGCGUAAAGGGCGCGUAGGCGGCCACCGCAAGUCGAUUGUGAAAUCUCCGGGCUUAACCCGGAAAGGUCAACCGAUACUGCGGGGCUAGAGUGCAGAAGGGGCAACUGGAAUUCUCGGUGUAGCGGUGAAAUGCGUAGAUAUCGAGAGGAACACCUGCGGCGAAGGCGGGUUGCUGGGCUGACACUGACGCUGAAGUGCGAAAGCUAGGGGAGCGAACGGGAUUAGAUACCCCGGUAGUCCUAGCCUUAAACGAUGAAUGCUUGGUGUCUGGGGUUUUAUAGUCCCCGGGUGCCGUCGCUAACGCUUUAAGCAUUCCGCCUGGGGAGUACUGUCGCAAGACUG